GAUGAACGCUGGCGGCGUGCCUAAUACAUGCAAGUCGAGCGAACGGACGAGAAGCUUGCUUCUCUGAUGUUAGCGGCGGACGGGUGAGUAACACGUGGAUAACCUACCUAUAAGACUGGGAUAACUUCGGGAAACCGGAGCUAAUACCGGAUAAUAUUUUGAACCGCAUGGUUCAAAAGUGAAAGACGGUCUUGCUGUCACUUAUAGAUGGAUCCGCGCUGCAUUAGCUAGUUGGUAAGGUAACGGCUUACCAAGGCAACGAUGCAUAGCCGACCUGAGAGGGUGAUCGGCCACACUGGAACUGAGACACGGUCCAGACUCCUACGGGAGGCAGCAGUGGGGAAUCUUCCGCAAUGGGCGAAAGCCUGACGGAGCAACGCCGCGUGAGUGAUGAAGGUCUUCGGAUCGUAAAACUCUGUUAUUAGGGAAGAACAUAUGUGUAAGUAACUGUGCACAUCUUGACGGUACCUAAUCAGAAAGCCACGGCUAACUACGUGCCAGCAGCCGCGGUAAUACGUAGGUGGCAAGCGUUAUCCGGAAUUAUUGGGCGUAAAGCGCGCGUAGGCGGUUUUUUAAGUCUGAUGUGAAAGCCCACGGCUCAACCGUGGAGGGUCAUUGGAAACUGGAAAACUUGAGUGCAGAAGAGGAAAGUGGAAUUCCAUGUGUAGCGGUGAAAUGCGCAGAGAUAUGGAGGAACACCAGUGGCGAGGGCGACUUUCUGGUCUGUAACUGACGCUGAUGUGCGAAAGCGUGGGGAUCAAACAGGAUUAGAUACCCUGGUAGUCCACGCCGUAAACGAUGAGUGCUAAGUGUUAGGGGGUUUCCGCCCCUUAGUGCUGCAGCUAACGCAUUAAGCACUCCGCCUGGGGAGUACGACCGCAAGGUUGAAACUCAAAGGAAUUGACGGGGACCCGCACAAGCGGUGGAGCAUGUGGUUUAAUUCGAAGCAACGCGAAGAACCUUACCAAAUCUUGACAUCCUUUGACAACUCUAGAGAUAGAGCUUUCCCCUUCGGGGGACAAAGUGACAGGUGGUGCAUGGUUGUCGUCAGCUCGUGUCGUGAGAUGUUGGGUUAAGUCCCGCAACGAGCGCAACCCUUAAGCUUAGUUGCCAUCAUUAAGUUGGGCACUCUAAGUUGACUGCCGGUGACAAACCGGAGGAAGGUGGGGAUGACGUCAAAUCAUCAUGCCCCUUAUGAUUUGGGCUACACACGUGCUACAAUGGACAAUACAAAGGGCAGCGAAACCGUGAGGUCAAGCAAAUCCCAUAAAGUUGUUCUCAGUUCGGAUUGUAGUCUGCAACUCGACUACAUGAAGCUGGAAUCGCUAGUAAUCGUAGAUCAGCAUGCUACGGUGAAUACGUUCCCGGGUCU
Molecule: ribosomal RNA, 1372 nt
Filed under: uncultured bacterium
Lineage: Bacteria
Description: bacterial SSU rRNA
Rfam family: Bacterial small subunit ribosomal RNA
Source: RNAcentral